This 2404-nucleotide small RNA is filed under the name Pongo abelii (Sumatran orangutan). Its description in RNAcentral is "retained intron". Lineage: Eukaryota; Metazoa; Chordata; Mammalia; Primates; Hominidae. The record is from RNAcentral.
AUGAAUGAAUGAAGGGGCCUUAUUCCCCCAUCGAGAAAGUGGGACUGACUCCACCUCCUUGAUUUAUGGAAUACAGCUGGGAGGUAAUGGGGGUGCAAGGGCUGAGCAACUCCCUCCUUCCCUGUCCUUGCCUCUGUGCUAGCCCUGUGGAUUUCCUGGCUGGGGACAGGCCCCAGGCAGUGCCUGCUGCUGUCUUCGUGGUCCUCUUCAGCUCCCUGUGUUUGCUGCUCCCCGACGAGGACCCAUUGCCUUUCCUGACUCUCGCCUCGGCACCCAGCCAAGAUGGGAAAACUGAGGCUCCAAGAGAUCUACAAGUACUACUCCCUGCUGGCCUCCCUGCCUCUCCUGCUGGGCCUCGGAUUCCUGAGCCUUUGGUACCCUGUGCAGCUGGUGAGAAGCUUCAGCCGUAGGACAGGAGCAGGCUCCAAGGGGCUGCAGAGCAGCUACUCUGAGGAAUAUCUGAGGAACCUCCUUUGCAGGAAGAAGCUGGGAAGCAGCUCCCACACCUCCAAGCAUGGCUUCCUGUCCUGGGCCUGGGUCUGCUUGAGACACUGCAUCUACACUCCACAGCCAGGAUUCCGUCUCCCGCUGAAGCUGGUGCUUUCAGCUACACUGACAGGGACGGCCAUUUACCAGGUGGCCCUGCUGCUGCUGGUGGGCAUGGUACCCAACAUCCAGAAGGUGAGGGCAGGGGUCACCACGGAUGUCUCCUACCUGCUGGCCGGCUUUGGGAUCGUGCUCUCCGAGGACAAGCAGGAGGUGGUGGAGCUGGUGAAGCACCAUCUGUGGGCUCUGGAAGUGUGCUACAUCUCGGCCUUGGUCUUGUCCUGCUCACUCACCUUCCUGGUCCUGAUGCGCUCACUGGUGACACACAGGACCAACCUUCGAGCUCUGCACCGAGGAGCUGCCCUGGACUUGAGUCCCUUGCACCGGAGUCCCCAUCCCUCCCGCCACGCCAUAUUCUGUUGGAUGAGCUUCAGUGCCUACCAGACAGCCUUUAUCUGCCUUGGGCUCCUGGUGCAGCAGAUCAUCUUCUUCCUGGGAACCACGGCCCUGGCCUUCCUGGUGCUCAUGCCUGUGCUCCAUGGCAGGAACCUCCUGCUCUUCCGUUCCCUGGAGUCCUCGUGGUGAGUGAAGCAAGACAUGGAGGGCUCAGGGACUCCUUAGAGGUCCCCUAACAGCGACCACCUCCCCACCCCACUGGCAGGCCCUUCUGGCUGACUUUGGCCCUGGCUGUGAUCCUGCAGAACAUGGCAGCCCAUUGGGUCUUCCUGGAGACUCAUGAUGGACACCCACAGCUGACCAACCGGCGAGUGCUCUAUGCAGCCACCUUUCUUCUCUUCCCCCUCAAUGUGCUGGUGGGUGCCAUGGUGGCCACCUGGCGAGUGCUCCUCUCUGCCCUCUACAACGCCAUCCACCUCGGCCAGAUGGACCUCAGCCUGCUGCCACCGAGAGCUGCCACUCUCGACCCCGGCUACUACACGUACCGAAACUUCCUGAAGAUUGAAGUCAGCCAGUCGCAUCCAGCCAUGACAGCCUUCUGCUCCCUGCUCCUGCAAGCGCGGAGCCUCCUACCCAGGACCAUGGCAACCCCCCAGGACAGCCUCAGACCAGGGGAGGAAGACGAAGGGAUGCAGCUGCUACAGACAAAGGACUCCAUGGCCAAGGGAGCAAGGCCCAGGGCCAACCGCGGCAGGGCUCGCUGGGGUCUGGCCUACACGCUGCUGCACAACCCAACUCUGCAGGUCUUCCGCAAGACGGCCCUGUUGGGUGCCAAUGGUGCCCAGCCCUGAGGGCAAGGAAGGUCAACCCACCUGCCCAUCUGUGCUGAGGCACGUUCCUGCCUACCAUCCUCCUCCCUCCCCGGCACUCCUCCCAGCAUCACGCCAGCCAUGCAGCCAGCAGGUCCUCUGGAUCACCAUGGUUGGGUGGAGGUCUGUCUGCACUGGGAACCUCAGGAGGGCUCUGCUCCGCCCACUUGGCCAUGGGAGAGCCAGCAGGGGUUUUGAAGAAAGAAACUGGUGAGUUAGGGCCUUGGUCCAGGAGCCAGUCGAGCCAAGGCAGCCACAUCCAGGCCUCUCCCUGCUCUCGCUCUGCCAUCAGCCUCGAAGGGCCUCGAUGAAGCCUUCUCUGGAACCACGCCAGCCCAGCUCCACCUCAGCCUUGGCCUUCGCGCUGUGGAAGCAGCCAAGGCACUUCCUCACCCCCUCAGCGCCACGGACCUCUCUGGGGAGUGGCUGGAAAGCUCCCGGGCCUCUGGCCUGCAGGGCAGCCCAAGUCAUGACUCAGACCGGGUCCCACACCGAGCUGCCCACACUCGAGAGCCAGAUAUUUUUGUAGUUUUUAUGCCUUUGGCUAUUAUGAAAGAGGUUAGUGUAUUCCCUGCAAUAAACUUGUUCCUGAG